AGUCCGCUUUGAUGUCCCCCUCAUAGCCUGAACACGCAAAUUAACCAACCAUUUUCAUGUAACUAACAAAACAUUUUAUUAUCUCUAGUAUGUGCGACAGAAAAAGAAGUCAGAGCAAUACCUUUAGUACCGCAAGGGAAGUGUGAAAUAGAAAUGAAAAAAAUUUAAAACAAAAAAAAGCAGAGAUUAGCCCUUGUACCUUUUGCAUCAUGAUCUAACUAGAUGUAUCGAGCAAGUUGAUACCCAGUUCGCACCCCCGAAACUAAGUGAGCUACUCCGAGGCAACUUUUAGAGCUAACCCGUCUCUGUGGCAAAAGAGUGGGAUGACCUCCGAGUAGUGGUGAUACGCCUAUCGAACUUAGUGAUAGCUGGUUGCCCAGGAAAAGAAUUUUAGUUCCCCCUUAAGAACCACUAAGCACACCUAAGCAAAUCUAAUUCUUAAGUUAUAUUCAAUUAGGGUACAGCCUAGUUGAAAAAGGACACAACCUCUACCUUAGGAAAAUGACUAAAUUUUUUAAUUAUAUGACUAAGUUGGCUUAAAAGCAGCCACCUUUCAAAGGGCGUCUAAGCUUCAUCUCCAUUUACCCCAAUUCAAUUAUUUUCUCAGAACCCAACACCCCUACUGGGCUUUUCUAUAAUCAUAUAGAAGUAAUUAUGUUAGAACUAGUAACACAGAAAUUUUCUCUUGCAUGCAAUCUUAAGUCAGAUCGAAUACGUCACUGACAGUUACCCAGUUUGAGUACAAAGUAGUAACGCCACCAGAAAAUCCUACUAACAAUUCUGUUAACCUAACACGAGUGCACGAAAGAAAGAUUAUAAGGCCAGGAAGGAACUCGGCAAACACUAGUCCCGCCUGUUUACCAAAAACAUCGCCUUUUGAUCUCUAUAAAAGGUAACGCCUGCCCAGUGACUGCUCGUUAAACGGCCGCGGUACUCUGACCGUGCAAAGGUAGCGUAAUCACUUGUCUUUUAAAUAAAGACUAGUAUGAAUGGCAUCACGAGAACUAAUCUGUCUCCCUCCCCCAAUCAGUGAAACUGAUCUCCCCGUGCAGAAGCGGGGAUGACACCAUAAGACGAGAAGACCCUGUGGAGCUUCAAAUCGAAAAUCAACUUGCUAUACUUUACCUCUCGAGGAUAUAUUCAUAUAGACUUGACUUAGAUUUUUAGCUGGGGCGGCUGUGGAGAAAAAAUCAUCCUCCACGAAACUCUAUUCUAAGGGCUACUGCCCUAAGUAAUAAUAAAUUAAUUUAAUUGACCCAAUUUUUGAUCAACGGACCAAGUUACCCCAGGGAUAACAGCGCAAUCCACUUUUAGAGUCCAUAUCGACAAGUGGGCUUACGACCUCGAUGUUGGAUCAGGGCACCCAAGUGGUGCAGCCGCUACUAAAGGUUCGUUUGUUCAACGAUUAAAGCCCUACGUGAUCUGAGUUCAGACCGGAGCAAUCCAGGUCGGUUUCUAUCUAUGACUGAACUUUUUCUAGUACGAAAGGACCGAAGAAGUAGAGCCUCUGAAUCAUUAAGCUCUAGCCUAUAAUUAUUGAACUCACCUGAAAUAAAAUUAGCCUUCUACCCCACCCCCGACAAUGGA
RNAcentral lists this ribosomal RNA (1587 nucleotides) under Leptobrachella alpina. RNAcentral describes it as "16S ribosomal RNA". It matches the Rfam family "Bacterial large subunit ribosomal RNA". Lineage: Eukaryota; Metazoa; Chordata; Amphibia; Anura; Megophryidae. The record is from RNAcentral.